RNAcentral lists this ribosomal RNA (382 nucleotides) under uncultured bacterium. RNAcentral describes it as "bacterial SSU rRNA". It matches the Rfam family "Bacterial small subunit ribosomal RNA", at positions 958 to 1341 of the family's 1533-position model. The record is from RNAcentral.
AACGCGAAAAACCUUACCAUCCCUUGACAUGUCGUGCCAUCCGGAGAGAUCCGGGGUUCCCUUCGGGGACGCGAACACAGGUGCUGCAUGGCUGUCGUCAGCUCGUGUCGUGAGAUGUUGGGUUAAGUCCCGCAACGAGCGCAACCCACGUCCUUAGUUGCCAUCAUUCAGUUGGGCACUUUAGGGAGACUGCCGGUGAUAAGCCGCGAGGAAGGUGUGGAUGACGUCAAGUCCUCAUGGCCCUUACGGGAUGGGCUACACACGUGCUACAAUGGCGGUGACAGUGGGACGCGAACCCGAGAGGUAGAGCAAAUCCCCAAAAACCGUUCCAGUUCAGAUUGCACUCUGCAACUCGAGUGCAUGAAGGCGGAAUCGCUAGUAA